UGACACACACACACAGUCCAAGGACCUGAGUCUGUUCAGACUGACCACACACUCCAAGGACCUUAGCCUGUUCAGACUGACAACAACACAGUCCAAGGACCUGAGCCUGUUCAGACUGACCACACAGACCAAGGACCUGAGCCUGUUCAGACUGACCACACAGUCCAAGGACCUGAGUCUGUUCAGACUGACCACACAGUCCAAGGACCUGAGUCUGUUCAGACUGACAACAACACAGUCCAAGGACCUGAGCCUGUUCAGACUGACAACACAGUCCAAGGACCUGAGGGGGGCAAGGAGAAGGACACCAUGAGUUCCAUAGAUCUAAAAGUCCUACUGAUUCCUCUGGGAAUGUUGGUGGUGGUGAUAUCUGGUGUCCUAGUCACAUGGAAGAUCCCUACACUACCACCUUCAUUGAUCCUCACUCAUUAAACACCUUGUGCAGUAAAAAUCACUGCUGCUGCUAACUGUUCAAUAUACAUUACACUGCCUCUAGAAAUAAUGGGAGAGAACAUUCUUCUACCUGCCAAAAAUGGGUAAUGCAUUGCUCUUCCUACUGUGUACCAUCAUUGCUGUGGUGAAGUUCAAGGCAAACCGACUCCGUGGUGAAACUAAAGAUGAGUAGAAACCAGACAGGUCUCUCUGGUGAGACCAAGGGACAGAUUUACUUCUUGUACCUGCUUUUUCAGGGAUAAAACACAAAUAAGAAACUGUUCAUUUAUGUUACAUUUGAUGGUCUUUGACCUAAAUUGACCAUUUAAUCCAUAUGUUGUAGGCCACAUAUUAUUUGUUUCGUAGUUGAUCUUAUUUACUGAAUCAUAGUCUUACUGUACUAUUGUCACGUCCUGACCAUAGUGCUUAUGUGUUUUGCUUGUUUUAGUGUUGGUCAGGACGUGAGCUGG
Molecule: long non-coding RNA, 902 nt
Organism: Salvelinus sp. IW2-2015
Lineage: Eukaryota; Metazoa; Chordata; Actinopteri; Salmoniformes; Salmonidae
Source: RefSeq, a predicted model, not a curated record